This 387-nucleotide ribosomal RNA is filed under the name uncultured bacterium. RNAcentral's name for it is "bacterial SSU rRNA". It matches the Rfam family "Bacterial small subunit ribosomal RNA", at positions 30 to 420 of the family's 1533-position model. The record is from RNAcentral.
AUUGAACGCUGGCGGAAUGCUUUACACAUGCAAGUCGAACGGCAGCACGGGGCAACCUGGUGGCGAGUGGCGAACGGUGAGUAAUACAUCGGAACGUGCCCAAUCGUGGGGGAUAACGUAGCGAAAGUUACGCUAAUACCGCAUACGAUCUACGGAUGAAAGCGGGGGAUCGCAAGACCUCGCGCGAGUGGAGCGGCCGAUGUCAGAUUAGGUAGUUGGUGGGGUAAAGGCUCACCAAGCCAACGAUCUGUAGCUGGUCUGAGAGGACGACCAGCCACACUGGAACUGAGACACGGUCCAGACUCCUACGGGAGGCAGCAGUGGGGAAUUUUGGACAAUGGGCGCAAGCCUGAUCCAGCCAUUCCGCGUGCAGGAUGAAGGCCUCGG